This 492-nucleotide ribosomal RNA is filed under the name uncultured bacterium. Its description in RNAcentral is "bacterial SSU rRNA". It matches the Rfam family "Bacterial small subunit ribosomal RNA", at positions 8 to 518 of the family's 1533-position model. The record is from RNAcentral.
AGAGUUUGAUUCUGGCUCAGGACGAACGCUGGCGGCGUGCCUAACACAUGCAAGUCGAGCGAUGAAGUUCUUCGGAACGGAUUAGCGGCGGACGGGUGAGUAACACGUGGGUAACCUGCCUUGUAGAGGGGGAUAGCCUUCCGAAAGGAAGAUUAAUACCGCAUAACAUCUUUUUAUCGCAUGGUAGAAAGAUCAAAGGAGUAAUCCGCUACAAGAUGGACCCGCGGCGCAUUAGCUAGUUGGUGAGGUAACGGCUCACCAAGGCGACGAUGCGUAGCCGACCUGAGAGGGUGAUCGGCCACAUUGGAACUGAGACACGGUCCAGACUCCUACGGGAGGCAGCAGUGGGGAAUAUUGCGCAAUGGGGGGAAACCCUGACGCAGCAACGCCGCGUGAAUGAAGAAGGCCUUAGGGUUGUAAAGUUCUGUUUACGGGGACGAUAAUGACGGUACCCGUGGAGGAAGCCACGGCUAACUACGUGCCAGCCGCCGC